UUGGGUGCUAAGAGAAUGGAUGAAUGUAUAUAAAUUGUUUUUUUUUAAAAAUUAAAAAUUAAUUUAAAAAUGAAAAAGUUUUUAUGUAUUAAUGGGACAAGAAGACCCUAUGAAUCUUAAUUAUUUUUAAAAUUAAAAAUUAUUUUAAUAUAAUUUAAUUGGGGCGAUUGAAAAAGAAUAUUUAUCUUUAUUUUGAAUUUAUUUUUUAAAUAUGGGAAAAGAUACUCUAGGGAUAACAGCGUUAUUAUUUUGGAUAGUUCAUAUUGAUAAAAUAGUUUGCGACCUCGAUGUUGAAUUAAUGAACCUUUUAAAUGAAGUUAUUUAGAAAGGUAGAUUGUUCCUC
RNAcentral lists this ribosomal RNA (343 nucleotides) under Dermanyssus gallinae. Its description in RNAcentral is "partial 16S ribosomal RNA". The stretch from base 95 to 343 matches the Rfam family "Bacterial large subunit ribosomal RNA", at positions 2078 to 2585 of the family's 2925-position model. Lineage: Eukaryota; Metazoa; Arthropoda; Arachnida; Mesostigmata; Dermanyssidae. The record is from RNAcentral.